CUACGGGCUGCUGCAGUGGGGAAUAUUGCACAAUGGAGGAAACUCUGAUGCAGCAACGCCGCGUGGAGGAUGACACUUUUCGGAGCGUAAACUCCUUUUAUAUAGGAAGAAGAUGACGGUACUAUAUGAAUAAGCGCCGGCUAACUCCGUGCCAGCAGCCGCGGUAAUACGGAGGGCGCAAGCGUUACUCGGAAUCACUGGGCGUAAAGAGCGUGUAGGCGGAUUAAAGAGUCAGAAGUGAAAUCCUAUAGCUUAACUAUAGAACUGCUUCUGAAACUCUUAAUCUAGAAUAUGGGAGAGGUAGAUGGAAUUUCUGGUGUAGGGGUAAAAUCCGUAGAGAUCAGAAGGAAUACCGAUUGCGAAGGCGAUCUACUAGAACAUUAUUGACGCUGAGACGCGAAAGCGUGGGGAGCAAACAGGAUUAGAUACCGCGUAGUC
Molecule: ribosomal RNA, 438 nt
Filed under: uncultured bacterium
Lineage: Bacteria
Description: partial 16S ribosomal RNA
Rfam family: Bacterial small subunit ribosomal RNA
Source: RNAcentral